RNAcentral lists this transfer RNA (76 nucleotides) under Sulfurovum sp. RNAcentral's name for it is "tRNA-Ala". It matches the Rfam family "tRNA". From Rfam's summary of the family: Transfer RNA (tRNA) molecules are approximately 80 nucleotides in length. Their secondary structure includes four short double-helical elements and three loops (D, anti-codon, and T loops). The record is from RNAcentral. Lineage: Bacteria; Pseudomonadati; Campylobacterota; Epsilonproteobacteria; Campylobacterales; Sulfurovaceae.
GGGGAAUUAGCUCAGCUGGGAGAGCGCUUCGCUGGCAGUGAAGAGGUCGACGGUUCGAUCCCGUUAUUCUCCACCA